RNAcentral lists this unclassified non-coding RNA (317 nucleotides) under Hevea brasiliensis (rubber tree). Lineage: Eukaryota; Viridiplantae; Streptophyta; Magnoliopsida; Malpighiales; Euphorbiaceae. The record is from RNAcentral.
UGAUGAUUGUAAAUGCAAAAUUUGUUCAAGAAACAACGGAUUCUGCUCUGUAUGCAUGUGUUUAGUAUGUUCUAACUUCGAUUAUGCCACUAAUACUUGUCGUUGGGUAGGCUGUGACCGAUGUUCACACUGGUGUCAUGCUGUCUGCUCUGUUCAGAGAAAUCUUAUAAAGCCAGGUCCAAGUAUCAAUGGGCCAUCUGGAACAACUGAGAUGCAAUUUCACUGUCUUGGUUGUGGUCAUUCUAGUGAAAUGUUUGGAUUUGUUAGAGACGCGUACAUGCAUUGUUCAAAGGACUGGGGUGAAAAAACUCUAAUAG